UUCUGUAGGAUACAGUCCUUAGGAAGUCAACCGAGUCUUCCAGAAUCUGAGAUACUGCAGAGGGAGAUGGCUCCCCAGGAACAGUUGAAGUGUGAGUAUGUUCUCUUGAGAGUCUAUUGCUGUUCUGAGAGCUCCUUUUUUUCCAAGAUGCCAUAUUAUUAUUAUUUUAGAGAGAUGACUGUGGGUGUGCAAGAGCCUAUGUGGUU
Molecule: long non-coding RNA, 206 nt
Organism: Mus musculus (house mouse)
Lineage: Eukaryota; Metazoa; Chordata; Mammalia; Rodentia; Muridae
Product: predicted gene, 53568
Exons: 3
Source: RefSeq, a predicted model, not a curated record